UUGCAGCCAGUUAAACCAACUGUGCUCUUUCCCCAUUGGGGCCCAGUGUGCAAUGGCUAUAAACAGCAGCCUCCUCAGUAGUGUAUGCAGCCGUUGCCUGUACAAGUUUCCCUAAGGGACCUUGGAGACAACC
This is a small nucleolar RNA of Bison bison bison, 133 nucleotides long. Its record names the gene SNORA70. It matches the Rfam family "Small nucleolar RNA SNORA70". From Rfam's summary of the family: snoRNA U70 seems to be exclusive to mammals and is a member of the H/ACA class of snoRNA which contain H (ANANNA) and ACA box motifs. H/ACA box snoRNAs are involved in the conversion of uridines to pseudouridines (5-ribosyluracil) a constituent of structural RNAs (transfer, ribosomal, small nuclear, and small nucleolar). The record is from Ensembl. Lineage: Eukaryota; Metazoa; Chordata; Mammalia; Artiodactyla; Bovidae.